This 328-nucleotide ribosomal RNA is filed under the name Salmonella enterica subsp. enterica serovar Typhimurium. RNAcentral describes it as "partial 23S ribosomal RNA". It matches the Rfam family "Bacterial large subunit ribosomal RNA", at positions 1 to 356 of the family's 2925-position model. The record is from RNAcentral. Lineage: Bacteria; Pseudomonadati; Pseudomonadota; Gammaproteobacteria; Enterobacterales; Enterobacteriaceae.
GGGUUGUGAGGUUAAGCGACUAAGCGUACACGGUGGAUGCCCUGGCAGUCAGAGGCGAUGAAGGGCGUGCUAAUCUGCGAUAAGCGCCGGUAAGGUGAUAUGAACCGUUAUAACCGGCGAUACCCGAAUGGGGAAACCCAGUGUGAUUCGUCACACUAUCAUUACGUGAAUACAUAGCGUAAUGAAGCGAACCGGGGGAACUGAAACAUCUAAGUACCCCGAGGAAAAGAAAUCAACCGAGAUUCCCCCAGUAGCGGCGAGCGAACGGGGAGGAGCCCAGAGCCUGAAUCAGCAUGUGUGUUAGUGGAAGCGUCUGGAAAGGCGCGCG